UGAGUGUGUGCAACUGGAGAGUGCCGCUCGGUCUUAAUCUGUCGUUGCCUCAUAUGGUUUGUGCUCGUGCGUCUGUCAGAUUUAGCACUUUGUCACAGGAGGUGCAGAUCAUAAUGUCGCUCAGGAGGAGAAGGACCGCCAAAUACUUUUUUCACUCCUGGUUGUAAACCUCUUAACAGACAAACAAACACGCACUGCCGGAAUAGCACCGUCCAGUUCCAGAAGGAUCAGCUUGUGAAACACAAAAGAAGAAAAGGGCUGCCAGUCAAUCACUGUCUUUUUAUGAUAACAGACUGGCAGAAGGAUGAUGAGGGUAGACAGUGUUUGCAGGCAAGAGAGCUAGAGAGAGACCUACAAACCUGGAUAAAAUUGUGGGAAGUGUAGUGCAGAUGCCAUGUCUCUCAGUCAACUGCAGCGGGGCGACGGUGGCAGCUGUGGAGGUGGCGAAUGGGAGGUGGGACUUGCCACUCUGGAGAAGCAGCUGAUGUGUCCCAUCUGCCUGGAGAUCCUCCACAAGCCCAUCGUCAUCCUGCCAUGCCAGCACAACCUGUGCAGGAGGUGUGCCAAUGAGCUCUACC
This is a long non-coding RNA of Hippocampus comes (tiger tail seahorse), 578 nucleotides long. RefSeq lists it as uncharacterized. The transcript has 3 exons. The record is from RefSeq and is a predicted model, not a curated record. Lineage: Eukaryota; Metazoa; Chordata; Actinopteri; Syngnathiformes; Syngnathidae.